CGUUUCUCUAUUGUCUACUCUCGAUGAUUACUAUCUAAACAAGAUGCUACUUAGGCUGCGUUUAGUGGGCUAACUGGUUCUCAUUAUCAUUUCAAAGUUUAGCUUUUUGUAUGAGUUGGCUACACUUGGCAGAUUCUUGUGCUCUGGUUGAUUAGAUAGCUUAGGAAGCCAUGAGAAAUAACUUUAGAAUGUAUCUACUUCACUGUUAUGAUUAGAGACUCUUCCUUAAUAAACUUGUUGAAAAAUGUCUUCUUUUGGCAGGGAUGGUUUGAUCUAGCUAGUGCUCGACACUCUAUGGGAACUUUACGUAUCAACAGCACUCUCUUAGACCUCAAGGAUCAUUCUGCGGCUUCAACAUUGCAAGUGACUGACCAAGAGGACAUAUACUUAUAUGUCUAUUACCAACCCGCUAGAGUUGAGUAAACGCUUCUGUGGCAGAGUAUUUGGUUGAUAUGGGUGCUCUCAACUGCCUCCUUCCCACCGACCAGCCUCGACUCAGCGAACAUAUGGAUGACAUCAUUAAGAUGAUUGAAAAGGUUAUUGAGAAUGAUUGUGGGUAUGUUAUGGAAUGAGGCGAUGUGUUCUUCUCUGUCGACAAAUCACUAGACUAUGGUAAGUUGUCAGGUCAGCGGAUGGAACAUACACGGGCUAGUGAGCGAGAAUCACUAGACUAUGGCCUUGGGAUGAAGAAUUUUCUUUGGUGAAUUGCAGAACUUUUAAGUUAGGUGAUAUGUAUAGCCUUUGUAUGUUGAGUUUGAGACAUCAGCCUUUGUAGCAGGGUUUGAGUAUUGAUCAUUGUCUGAGAGCAAGAGAUACCAUCAAUUAUGCAUUAAUCAUGUUUUCAUUUCCUUGUUUUUAAUGAAAGUGUA
Molecule: RNA transcript, 869 nt
Organism: Brassica oleracea var. oleracea
Lineage: Eukaryota; Viridiplantae; Streptophyta; Magnoliopsida; Brassicales; Brassicaceae
Gene name: cysteine--tRNA ligase 2, cytoplasmic-like
Exons: 3
Source: RefSeq, a predicted model, not a curated record